GACGAACGCUGGCGGCGUGCUUAACACAUGCAAGUCGAGGAGAACGGGAAUCUUCGGAAUCCCUAUUAAACUGGCGCACGGGUGCGUAACACGUAGGCAACCUACCCUUGAAUGGGGAAUAACACCGCGAAAGCGGUGCUAAUACCGCAUGACAUUCUAUUGUCGCAUGGUGAUAGAAUUAAAGAUUUAUUGUUCAAGGAUGGGCCUGCGUCCUAUUAGCUUGUUGGCAGGGUAACGGCCUACCAAGGCAACGAUGGGUAGCUGGUCUGAGAGGAUGAUCAGCCACACUGGCACUGAGACACGGGCCAGACUCCUACGGGAGGCUG
RNAcentral lists this ribosomal RNA (326 nucleotides) under uncultured Deferribacteres bacterium. Its description in RNAcentral is "bacterial SSU rRNA". It matches the Rfam family "Bacterial small subunit ribosomal RNA", at positions 28 to 351 of the family's 1533-position model. Lineage: Bacteria; Pseudomonadati; Deferribacterota; Deferribacteres. The record is from RNAcentral.